Molecule: ribosomal RNA, 253 nt
Filed under: uncultured bacterium
Lineage: Bacteria
Description: partial 16S ribosomal RNA
Rfam family: Bacterial small subunit ribosomal RNA
Source: RNAcentral
UACGGGGGGAGCAAGCGUUGUUCGGAUUUACUGGGCGUAAAGGGUGCGUAGGCGGUCGGGUAAGUCUGUCGUGAAAUCUCCGAGCCCAACUCGGAAACUGCGUCGGAUACUAUUCGGCUAGAGGAAUGGAGGGGAGACUGGAAUUCUCGGUGUAGCAGUGAAAUGCGUAGAUAUCGAGAGGAACACCAGUGGCGAAGGCGAGUCUCUGGACAUUUCCUGACGCUGAGGCACGAAAGCCAGGGGAGCAAACGGG